UACGGGGGGUGCGAGCGUUGUCCGGAAUCACUGGGCGUAAAGGGCGCGUAGGUGGUUUGAUAAGGGUGUGGUGAAAGUCCGGGGCUCAACCCCGGAUCUGCCGUGCCGACUGUCAAACUCGAGGACUGUAGAGGCAGACGGAAUUCCGGGUGUGGCGGUGGAAUGCGUAGAGAUCCGGAGGAAGACCGGUGGCGAAGGUGGUCUGCUGGGCAGUUUCUGACACUGAGGCGCGACAGCGUGGGGAGCAAACAGG
This 253-nucleotide ribosomal RNA is filed under the name uncultured bacterium. RNAcentral's name for it is "partial 16S ribosomal RNA". It matches the Rfam family "Bacterial small subunit ribosomal RNA", at positions 524 to 776 of the family's 1533-position model. The record is from RNAcentral.